UGAAAUAAAAGAAUAUCUAAUAAUUUUAAAAUUUAUUAGAAUAUGCUAAAUGAUAUUAUUUUAGAGAAAAUUCUUUUUGAAAGAAUUCAGUUUAAAAUGAAUUAUUUCAAUGAUCAUAAUACAAAUUUUUGAUGUUUUUUUCUUUUUUCAGGCAAUUGUAAGAGCCAUAGCAAGAGUGCGUAGAGUUAAAAUGAUUCAGGCAGAAAGUAUUUUUUCAAAAGGUGUAAAUUGGAGCAAAGCUGAAAAGGAAGAAGUAAAACGGGAAUUUGAAAACUUUCAAUUAACAGAAGAAGAACGCCAAGAACAUCGAGAAAAUAUGGCAGAUAGUUUGAGAAAUGCUGGUGUAGAAGAAGAUAUUAUUCAAUCAUUGAAUUUGUAAUUUUAAACACUAUUUUAAGUACAUGUAAUUUUUGCAUAAAAAAAUAUUGAAAUAUGAAACAUCACAUCCAUACAUUUCUGUUUUCCAGUUAAAUGUGACAUUAUCUUCCUGCAUUUUGCUCAUGAUUAAUAGAGAAGGAACAUGGAUGAACAGGCAUGGCUGUUGUAAUUUGCAUAUCACAAUAAUUUGAUUUUAAUUAUUUAUUAAUCAUUGGAUAUGAUCUGUAUCAAAAAGAUAGUUGCUUUUCAUGUCAUUUCAAAUAAAAUUAAUUUGCUUAAUCCUUAAAGAAGGCAUCCAUAACUAUUUUAAAUUUUAUAAAUAUAUGAAUUUUGUUGAAUGAUUUUUCGGUUAAUUAUGCUUUGAUGCAUUGUACUUAGUCUGUAAAAUUUUAAAAAAAUUAUAUUCCAGGUUAUUCUUUAUAUCUUGAGUUUAUUUACAUAAUAUGUUUUCAAACAUAUAUAAAUUAUGAGAACAAAGAUUGUGCCAAAUUGAAUAAACAGAUCAGUACAAUAUUUAGAUUUGUUUAAUGUUGAUUUAUGUAUCUUGAAAUUCUUCAUCUGGUUAUGAUAUUUAAUGCAUAUAUUGAAACAAAUUUAUAUAGUUAUUUGACAGAAUUUUAUAUUUUUUACAUAGUCAGAUUAAAAUACUUCAACUUGAUCAUUAUUUGUUGAUACAAACAUAGAAAAAUGGAAAUGUACUCAUUAGCAUUACACCAUUUUUUCUUAUUUAUAUGUAGAGUUAUUUCUCUCAUUGAAUCCAAAAGAAUUACUAUUUAGUUUAAUUAGAAAUUUUUGUAUCAGUUGCUAUUUUUUAAAAUGUUUUAUUGUUGGCAUGCAAAUUUCCUUAUUGUUUUAUAUGAAAUGAGAAAAAUAUUGUUUAAAUCAUUUUUAACAUUUAUAUGGAUAAGGGAAUUUCACAUUAAUCAUCAUCAGAUUAUUAUAUAUACUGUAAAAAAUGUUUUGCAUAUGUACACCAUGGCAAAUUUAUAAAUGCAUAAUGAAUAAAUUCUAUAAUUCUAAAAAUAUUCAUAGUUGUUGUGAAAUGGUCUAUCUGAACCAUAAUUCCUAUGUGAAGUUUCUAUAUAGAUUAUUUGUUAAGAUAAGAAUAUCC
Molecule: long non-coding RNA, 1489 nt
Filed under: Androctonus crassicauda
Lineage: Eukaryota; Metazoa; Arthropoda; Arachnida; Scorpiones; Buthidae
Source: RNAcentral